This is a non-coding RNA of Mycena metata, 94 nucleotides long. NCBI's taxonomy places the organism in Eukaryota, Fungi, Basidiomycota, Agaricomycetes, Agaricales, Mycenaceae. The record is from the annotation of a GenBank genome assembly.
GUCCGUAUGGUGUAAGUGGUAACAUACCUGCCCUCUGUCGCAUAUUACCUCCAGCGUUUCACAGGUGACGCGAGUUCGAUUCUCGCUACGGACG